UCACGUGUGGGAAACGGGGAGCUGGAGGAAAACAAAAGCCCAGCCAGCAGCCCGGAGGAGGAGGGAGAAGGGUGGGUCUCGGCGAGCUCCCUCCUUUCAACCUCUCUCUUUUUUUUUUUUUCCCUUUCACCCCCUUCCCUCCUCCUCCUCCUCCUCCUUUUCCCUUCCUGGAUGCGUGGGGGCGGGCGGGAGCCGGGGAAGGUGGAGUCUGCGCCCGUCGUACACGGCACAUGCCCCUCGGAGGCUGGCACCGGCAGCACCGGACCCGGGGGCUGCGGCUCGGCGCGGCCCGGCCCGGCCCGGCCCGGCCCGGCCCCCCGCGGCUGCUGGAGCGGCACCGGGCUGCAGCCGUGCCGCGGCAAAGGGGCCCGGGUGCUGCCCCGCCGGUUUUACCGGGAGGGGGCCAGUGCCCCGGGGCAGGCGCUGGCGCCCCGGCGGGCGGGGGGGGGGGGCAGCCCCCGGGGAUGCGCUUGGCUGCCGGCGGCGCGUCCCCCGGUGCGGCAAGGCUGGGCUGCCCCAGCUGCCCUGUGAGGCGUGCGUGUGUAAGUAACGUAUCGCGACUUCCCUGAACCAUCAGAGCAACCCCCUCCCCAACCCUUCCCUCUCCCCUGCACCAGAGAAAGUGCGGUUAUUUAGUUUGCCCUCUGGUAUGUAGCCCAAGCCCGAAAUCUGUCUGUUCCCUGUCUUUUCCGAAGGGAUGGCUGUGGUGCAGCUGGCUGCAGGUCUGCACGCUCCCUCCUUCUGCAGCUGCGGCUUGGGAGGGGGAGCAGCCAGUCCCACCUUAGCAUAAACCUCCUUCCUUUCUUCAUUACUUAAUUUUGAUCAACUCAACCGUGCUACAAGUGUUCUUGUCCUGUGAUGAUAAUUUCAUCAACGGCUUAUGUAAGGGUUGGGUAACACAUACAUACAAACAGCAGAACAUAUGGUUGUUGCAAGAUAGCAAUGUGCGCCUACUUCAUAAAGCAUUACAAUGACUUGUAUUAUAUUCCAGUUAUAGUUGGUAGAUGAUUUACAAGCCACCCCAAACUGUCACAAAUAUUGUAAUGUCCCCUACAAUUUUAUCAAAAGCUUGCUAAUUUGAUCUAAAAAAAAAAUUAGAUUGAUCAGAGGGGAACCUAAUCCUAUUGUUAGAGGGAGCUAUGGACCCAGGUUUGCAUUCCUCUCAAAAUUGACCUUUUGAGCAUUCAAUGACUUUAGAAUCAAGCUCUGUGACUUGGAUUGGUUUCUGAAAGUUUGGCCUUUACUGACACUGGGUGCCACAAAACCUGAACUUUAAGGGGCCAAGUCCCUGGGGUGUGCUCCUUAUGCGGUAAGGAUGCUGUAUGGGCAGCAUCCUGAGCAAGAAGCACUGAGCAAGGGAAUGAGAAGUGAUGGAGGAAAGGGAUGUUUCCCAGAUCCCACCUUCUUAGAAAGGUAAGUGCUAUUUUGAGAUGGGUGUUCUCAUUUCAGACUGCUCUCUUGAGGUUUACACUGAAGCUGUCUUUCCUAACAGAGGGCACUGGUGUGCCUGUCCCUCUGGCACAUCAGGGCUCAAUCAUUUGGACGGGAAGUGGAUCAGCCUGAGUGCUAGACUUGCCUCCCUGAAGAAGAGCCCAGCUGGCAUCUCCCACCUGCUAGGAGGAUGCUCUGCACCCCUGUGGUUGCAAAGUGUCCUUCAAACUUCUGUUUCGGAGAGGAAGACCAGGGAAUUGGAGACCUGCCACCUUCCUUUGAUGGGGCAGGCAAUGCCCAUUUUUGACUGGAGGCCCUGUCCGUGCAGUGGGAACCAGCGGGAUGUCUGGUGUUGGGGCACUGAUGCACUCUGCUCCCGUGGAGGAGCUCCGUGCUCCUUUUGAGACAGUACUGCUUUUAAAAGAAUUCAGGACUUUUUGGAGGAGGGGUCCUGGGCCACAGAGAGCUGUCACAGCCUGAUAGUCAGCACAUUCACUGGAUGCUGAUUUCUGGUCCAAGGACUACUACUAGAUGGUAGGUAGGUCAUGAAACUUGGGCCUCCAACAUUAUAGCCAAGUAAGGUAUACGCUGGGAUUUUUUUUUCCUCUUGCAUGUCUAAGGGAAAGCAGCCACAGUGAGUGUUUUUCUCCAGAGCUCAAAAGCUUGCUAUGGCAACUGAGUCCUGGAGUGUAUUUUCCAAAUCCAGCCGCUCACAAGGUAUAGUUCUGGGAAAGAGAACCACCACCAAAACACCAGGUGGGGUUCCAGAGGUAGGUCUAACUUGGGACAGUUUUUGUGAGUGCAGAAGUGUGCACUCCUUUCACAAAAUUACUCUUGUGAUAGGAUAAAUCACUCUCUGUUGUAAGCAUUAUUUUAAAUGGAGCCAUGACCUCUGCUCCUCUAGAGCUGUCCCAGAGGAAGGUGUUACCCGCCCCAUGUCCACAUGUGCAUACAGAUGCUUUUUGGCACGUGAUUUUUACAAUACUGUCUCUGAGUCCAGGAACGCUUACGUGAAUGGUUGAGCUUAUUGAACCUCCUUGCAUCAAAAUUGGAGGGGUCAGGAUAAACUGUAGGCCUUUGCUAGCCAGGCUCGUUCAGCUGAGCUCACUUUAUCACCCAGUGCAACCUUUGCAAAGUGCAUGUCUGUGCUCAGCAGCCUAACUACUUCAGUGGACUGAUGUCCGUGGUCUAACUUGCACAAGCCGCCUCUGGGGGUACUGUGUGUGCACAGACUGCCUUUUCCAAAAAUCAUGUUGAAGGUGGGUUAAAACAUCCCUUCUACAGCGCAUAAGAAUAAACCUGUUUGAGAAAGCCACAUACAAGAAGAAAAGCAUGACUUUUUCAGUCUGAAGUGAAGCUAUUUUUGAUAACGAGUGGGGUACCACAGUACAAAGAUAACUGGCAUGUUAGAAAUACGAGGCUCUCUAGACCUAUUUAUACAUUUAGUAGCAAAUUUAAAUGAAUGUGCACAACCUAAGGUGAAUGUUUUUUUCCAGUUACUUAUAUCUGUUUGAUCUGUGCUUAGCAGAACUAUAGAUGGUUACAUGUGCUAUAGUAGUCCUGUCUGCUGGAGGAUAUGUGGAAAUGUUAAACAAAUUGACUUUGCCGUUUGAAACUUUUUUCUUUGAUGGGGAACCAGUGGUUGACUAGAGGAAAUAGCAAAGUUGAAAGGAAAACCAAAAAGGCAUAUUCUGGAAGCUUGCUUCUGUGACUGUUUUUUCAAUCAUUUCUCUCUCCAGUUCUCUUCCAACCAACCAGCUCUACCUAAGUGCAAGCACAUGGGUAUUUUUCAGAGGUCACAGACUUAUGUAAGCGGUUGGAUGACAAGUGGUAAUAGGAGUGGUAGAGCAUGAUGGCUUUUUCACCCAGUGCACCAAGAGCUAGAAGAGAGACUCAUCAGUUGUGGGUGUUCAGAGACAACAUGGAAUUUGGGGGACCCAUUAACUCAGAGUCCCUUUUCAGAAGAGAAUUGUGCUUCAAAAGAGGAAAGCAGUUGUAGUAUUCGAGAAGGACUUGGAAUAUGAAUUUAAUAAUCCUUCUGCUUAGAAAGAGUGUCUGGCAGCAAAAAAGUAGAGGGAGUUUGAACACAUUUCACUGAGAGCCAUAGUUAAGACUGGAAAUUGGAUAAAGACAGUACAAAUUCUUUACAAAAGACUAAUACUGCAUCUGGAUAGUAAGGCCUGUUUUGGUGCCAGACCCUAACCUUCAGUCUGUUGUAAAUUUAGCCCGAUUCUCAGAAAUACUAAGUAUUUGUGCUUCCCAUUGGUCGUUUUUCAGGAGCCUGAGUGUUUUACUUGUUGAGGGCCACCUUUGCUAAUUGAAAUGUAAAAGCUUGACACUAACAUGAGCGUCACCUUUUUUGAAGAGCAGUGUUCCUUGGAUAGGUGUAGGUCCACACUUGCCUCUCUAUGAAGAACCUAAUGUUUGCUUGCAUUGUUCCAGGGUAGGUGCCAACAUUACCAAGUUAACGGAAAACCAAAUUCGUAUAUGGCAGUGGGAAAGUGGCAGAGAUUUGUGACCGCCUAAAAUCAUGGUUGGAGCAGUGUGUGUGACUGCGGGACAGGAUGUGCUGAAGCAGAUGCCCUCAGCAAAGAUGAAACAGUGUCUCUGCGUAUCAGUUGAGGUGCGGAUGGUCAGAGCACGCAACCUGCUGGUUGUUUUGGAUGUCAGAGUUGUGGCAUGCGUGGUGUUUGUGUGUGUGUUGAAAGGUUCCUGAGAUCUUCAGUAAGCUAGUGGUGUGCAUAUGGGUGGUAGAGCCAAUUUGAUAGUCGUUUGUCUGUCAGACAAAUUAGGGCAGUCUAGUUAAGUCAAAACUGGAAUCUGUAUCAUUACUCCAACUUACAGUACCUUUAGGUGAGGCUGGUGGCAACAGCCAUUUAUUAAGAAUACUUAACAUUUUCCAUUGCUAGACCCAUGCUAGAUCCAAUUCAGGCCAAACAUUUCUUGGAAAACUUUGGUCAAAAUGGUUAUGCCAGCUCCAAGGGCAAGACCAAGAAAAAUACAUCGCUUCACCCACAUUAGAAAUUCUUGUGACCUUUCCUUUGGCAUACCCCAGCAUCCCAGCACCAAGACAAGAAUUCAGGAGGUGGGCUUCUGUCUCUGAGGUGGGGCUGGGGAAGGAGGAGGGGGUGCCCUUCCUGUCAAAAUCCACCCACCUCUGUCCAAUUUUAAGCCUUUGAAUCAUAGCUUGCAUAUGCUAGCUAGGGACUUAGUCCUGCCUAGCAGCUAGAACUGCCAGUGAGGAUAUAUCUUCAUGGAGCAGACUUCAGCCUUCCGCCUUUGCUGAAUGGGCUGAGCACCUGCAGUCCCCCGACCUACAGGAGUGCUGGGAGGGAUGUUCCCAUCUGCUCUGGGGCAUGGUGGGGGCAGCUGCCGGACUGCAGUGCAGGGCGGGCAAGCGGAGUGCAGGAGGGAGCAGCCCGCUUGGAUGUGGAGAGGGAAGGAGCUGCAGGAGGAAAAGAUACCGUCCUUGGGUCUGACGCAUACACACGGGGGGAGCUGAGGGCUUACACAUCCAACAUGAAGUCCCCCUCACUAUUUUUUUGCAUGCUUGGAUUUUUCAAGUUCCUCAUUCAACUUAAGGUGGCUUUGAGGUUUUUGGUUGUUGCUGCUGUUGUUUGUUCACUCUGUAUGCUGUCAGACCCCUUAAAGACCCACACUAAACUGGGAGCUCUCUUUUACUGGGUGCUGCUAAAAUGCUCUCCCAUGCCUCAGUGAGCUUGCGGGAUAACUAGACAAAACAAGGAAGGUGGCCAUGUCGGAACUGCAACUGGAAUGUGGCCGUUGCUGGCUCCUACUGGAGUGAUUAAAUGGGAACAGGGCCACAUAACUCCUCCCUCCCUUGAAAAACAAAAACUGUGGGCACUUGUACAGAAAACAACCCCUGUCUCUGUUUGUCCUUGUCCUGCUGCAGUUUUCUUCUGUGAAAUCAGAAUUUUUUUUUUUUUUUUUGCAGUAUCGUAAGUUAACAUAGGCGUGAGGUUCAAAAUGGAGUAGUCUUUAUUGAAAUGAGGAAUGGCCAAAUGUCCUGUCUGCCUGGAAAUCUCCUUAAGCAGAGGUGUAAAUAAAAAGCCAUUUGUAAGUGCAGUAGAACAGAAUGACUGGUUGCUAAAAAGAGCUUUUUAAAGGUUUUCAUUAAGUGACAGCUGUGAUUUAUCCUGUUUUUUACCAUUUUGAGACAAUUUGGAAUCAAGUACAGAAUCACUGGACAUUAAGAUUUCAGAGGGAAGCCUGCAAGAACAUCCGUCUUCAUCACAGCAUCCAUUAAUUUUUAAUCGCCUAGGGAUAAUUUUAAAACAGGCUGCAGGUUUCUGAAACAUUCAUGUGAGCAAGUCCUUCAGUUUGCUGGCUGCUGAGGGUAGGAAAGUCCUCCAGUUCACAGGACAGUCAGACCAAGGGGCAGGGUGAGAGUGAAAAUGCUGUUGACACCUUCUCAGACAUGGUCGUCAAUGAGUAAAAACAUUAAAUAACUAGCGUUUGAAGUUCCCGGAGGGACAUGCUGGUGGAGUGUUUCACUUCAGACACUCUCUUACGAGUUCAGCUUGACUGGAAAUGUUUAAUAUCCAAGAAAAAGAAAAAAAGUUCAAAGGAUUUUUUUUUUUCUCCUCUUGAAAAUAUUAAAUUCAGGGAGUGUGAUUCCAAGGGGAAUGAAGGAGGCAAAUGGAAAACUUUUUGGCGGCAGGAGCUGGGGUUUUGCGUUCAGCUCAAUGGCUUUUUUCGGUCUGUGUGCAACAUGAUAUCCUGUGAGCGCCAGGCUUGGUUCACUCUGAAAUUUCAGGGAAAGUUUCAGAACCCUUUUAACUUUGGCAGAUCCUCAGCGGGUAGUGCUCAUCACAGGCUGGUGUGGAAAGCAGAAGAGAAAUAAAACCUGCGCCUGCACCCUUGAGUCCUGCCACCUUGGGCCAUCUGCACCAGGGUCCAGGAGGUCUGCAGCCACUUCUCCUUGCCCCCAGGAUGGGGCACGAGUCCUGCCUGGAUCCUCCGAGCAACACUCCCAGGAAAGUUUUCUAAGCAGCAAAUGGAAAUGACAUAAACGGAAAGGCGAUCCCCUGGCAAGACGGAUCCAAAGCCUUCUGCUGUCUCUGCUCAAAUUGGAUAGCACCUCAGUGUAAUAAUCUUCAUAUUGGAGAUCAAUGAGGCCGUUUAAAUAAAUGAAGCAUUCAGGUGUAGAAGAAAGUAAGGGAAGAGAGACGGCAUUCAAAUCAAAAAACUAAAAUUCAAGCCUCCUUGAGCCCCUAGGAAUGGAUAAAUCCAUUAAGCUGUAAAGAAAUGAGAGCUGGAAAGAGUCUGUCAGAUCCAUUCUAAAAUUUAUUACAAAAUAAAACUUUGUUAGGGGCCAGAAAGCAAAGUGAAAGAAACAGCAGUGUAGCAGGAGGGUACAGCUCUCCUAGCAUGGCAUUUGGUACAUAUGUGGUGCAUCUGCAGGUGUCUCUGUUGGGAAGUUCGACACACCAGUAAUUCCUUCUUCCAAAGUAAAAAUGGAUGGUUUACUUCUAAUUUACUGCAGUGUCUUUGGAGGGGGCUGGUUUUUGUGCCAGCCCCUCAAGAAAAAAAAAAAAAAGAAAUAGUUCAAAUAUACACCAACAGGAAUUAACAAGAUUUUGGCUGUCUCUAUAAUGUAUGAAUGUGUGUGUGUGUGUGUAUAUAUAUAAUGUGCAUUUCAUUUUUCCCUGUAAUUCCAACUAGAUAUAAUAGCACAUAAUACACACACUUGAACUAGAGCAGUAGAAGGAAUACAUAGCAGAAUUAUUCUGCUGGCUGUUUUUUGGAAAUGUUUUAGCCAUCUCUAUGAUGCCAGUGUGACUGUGUUCCUGUGGGAACAAGCUGCCUCAAAGCAAGAGGCUUCUAUAGCAAGAGUAGGUGAAUCCUGGCUAAAAACUUGGGGUUUAGCACAAAACUAAAUAUUCUGUAAAUAUCAAGUAUUCUGCAAUAUUCUGAUUAAAUUCACUCAUUUUCAAAACUAAUUGAAAGAGUUCUUUUCUACUCUGCCAAUGAGGCAAGAUGCAAUCAGCCACAUUCAAACCAUCAUUAGGACUAACUAGUGGAUCCUCAGUAGUAAAAGCUUGUUUGCACCUUCCUUGCAACCAUAGUGUUACUUCCCAGAGCUGCACCCUAAUGAUGAUACCCCUUUUGAAAAGCACCACACUGCAGAAGUAAUCCCAUAGGCUUUAAUGGGACUACUGCUGGAUUAAAGUACUAUUCUUUGUGAGGGAGCAUAUUAGAAUCUGGCUUUAAGUUAACGUUUGCCUUAAAUGCAUCUCUCCUCUGAAAAACAAGGUCUUGUGUUGUAUAUUGUGAGAGUUUUAUGUUGACUUGCAGCAGGAGCAACGCUUAAUAGAAGAAAACCCUGGAACUUCAAAGCUCUCAGAAUAUGCCUUGAAAAGAAGGGAUUCUGGGGAAGAAAAGCAUCGAUCUGACCAGUCAGUCAGAGACCAGAGCAAUUGCUGCAGAUAGCUGAAUACUUCUUUGAUUCAAUAUUCUGAGUGUUCAUUCCCUGAACUGAAGCUGAUCAAAUGUAUCUGUGCUUUAUUUUUAACUCAAAGCUGUUAAAAUUGCCAACAAAGUAGCUGUUAUGCCCAUAAGUGAUACGAAGGAGACAGAAUUUAACCCGCAGUUCUUUGCCAGCAGGUAAUGAAUGAAUGGACUGGAAGUUACGGGGAGGCUGGGACUCGAAUUUCAAGGCAAGAUUGUAAGUUGGGGAAAAUAGGCAGUUAAAUGGAGUCAGAUGUGGUGUACAUCAAGGGUACAGAUGUAAAUGAAACCUCAAGUGUGGUCCCAUCUGGUACUAUGAGCCCAGAAAUACAGGUUCUCUAGUGGAAAGAAAUGAAACCAGGUUUUCAGAGUUGUAUCUUCCAGUCCUAGUCUUAUCACUUCUGUAACCACUGCUGAAAUGUCUUCUCUAGCUCUAUUCUCAGCACUGGUUCAUCUAUAUCUUGUCUCUGCUGGUAUAGUCCUAGCUUCUGUCACUGAUGCUCUAACAUCAGUACAACUCCCUUUGCACCUCGCUUGAGGUGCAGAGGGUGGCCAGUGUGAGACAUCCACGUGCUAAAGGCAUAGGGACCAUUUGUGCGUGCCAUUUCCCCUGUCAUCCUUAGGGCAGAUGAUGGUGAGAUGGCUCUAAGAAGAAAUCCUAAAGGUGCCUAUGACACCUUUCGAUUUAAGGCACCAGUAAAAACCUCCAAGAAAAGGUCUUGAUGGUGAUAUGGUAGGAUUGACACUUGGUGUUGAGAAACUUGAAGCACAUUUCAGGAGAGAUCUGCCUGCACUGAUUUAUGCGAUAUUGGUGUUAGGGACAACCUCAGCAGCUCCUAAGUGGCCACGAGGUCCCACCUCCAUGUACAGUUUCACCUGAGUGAUUGUUUAUUUUUGGGGGUAGAAAACAUGUUUGUGAGAAAAAGAAGUGAAGAAGAACAGGCUGUAAACAAAGGUUUAAAAAUUGCAGAACUUCAAUUAGUGUUGAAAUUCCUCUUUCUAAUUUCAAGAAAUUCCCUGGUUUAAAUUUUGUGCUGCUCUAAACAGCAAUGACAUGUCACCUCUUCCUAUUUUUGUUCUUAAGGUACAGGAAUUUUAAACUGACACCUAAUCAGCAUUUCAGUGGACCGAAUGUAAUAUCUGAUAAUAUAUUAUGAAGCAUACUGUGCCCUUGGAAACAAUCGUUGGCAGUUUCUGUCUUUAGAAAAACCCUUACAGCUCACAGGAGAACCACGUAGUGAAAACAUGGGUGUGUUAAUCCUUUGUAGGCUCAAUAAGAUGUGAAUUUGUUUGAAUAGCCAUCUGCUGGUCUUGAGCCUUUAGUAUUUGCUUGCCAACCAGAACAAGAUAGGUGAGGGAUAUGUUGCUUUUAUUGCUCUGUACGAAGCAUACUUGGACUACAGAGAAAAGCAGGAGGAUGAUGGCCCAUAAAGAUAAGAAGAUGACAAAUUCAGGUAGGGUCAUUUGUCCCAGAACUUCAAAUGCUCAAAUUCAGUAUGCAGUUGCUUCCAACGUGGGUAUUUUUAAAGGGCCUCGAGCCAAGUAACUUUAGGCCAAAUGUGUGGCUAUUUAAGGAAAUACAUUACAGAGCAUGUAAGAGUGACUCCCAUGAAACAUUUUAAUUGUGCCUGAAUCUGUGCAGUUUUGCCCCAAUUCAGAGCCAGAGGACAGCACACAGUGAGGCAGGACACUGUAAUGCUCAGUGCCAAGCAGACUGAGGGCCAAAGCUCUGAAAGGGGCAGAUCACGCACAGGGAGGAUCUUUCUUUUCCCUCUUGCCUUUGAAUAUUCGCUUGCAAGUGUUACAAAAUACAAAUGCAAUAGCCUUGUGUGGGUGAAACCUAGAAAGAGCAACUCCGUACAUGAAAUGUGCCAGCCCUGUUCACCAUGCGCAGGAUAAACCCUGUUUCAUGCCAGGGUACUCCACUUUGAAUAGGGAAUUUCCUCUCCCCAAAUGACAGGGGCAUGGGUCAGCGUUGCCCUGAGGGCAAGUGUUUUUAGAGGGGAGGAAGUGCGCAGGUGGAAGAGAAAUGGUUUGCAAGAGAAGCAGGACUGAGUUUUCCUGUGAAUGUGCCAGGAUGGUGCUAUGCCAAACGACCUCAGCAUGGGGUUUGCUGGUUUUCCACCCGCCAUGUGGACAAAGAGCCUUUCCCGUGGACAUGGAUGUGGUCCCUGACCUGGGCAGUGCUCCCUGCUCAUCCCUCUGCCCUCCUGCAGCAUCUCCUCUGGAAGCAGGGCAGCCCUGAGUGCGCAGCCGAUGAUUUCAGCAGGCUGUUUGAAGUCCAUCAAAGUGAUCUUUAACAUGGUGUGACCAACUUAGAGGCUUUUUUUCUUUUGCAUUAGUGGCACAAGGAAGAAAGCACAUCGGGUGCAGGACAUGGCAAUGCUUUGUCUUGUGCUGGAGCACGGGUACUUCAGCGGGACAGACUGCCAGAGGAACCUAAUCUCUGCCUUCACUCUUCCUGACCAGGGCUAAUGGAGCUGUUUUUCCAGUGAAUUUCCAGCUACGCUAUUAAAAUAAACUUCUCCCUGAAAGCUUCUGCCUUGAAGCAGCCA
Molecule: long non-coding RNA, 10457 nt
Organism: Aquila chrysaetos chrysaetos
Lineage: Eukaryota; Metazoa; Chordata; Aves; Accipitriformes; Accipitridae
Exons: 3
Source: RefSeq, a predicted model, not a curated record